AACGAACGCUGGCGGCAUGCCUAACACAUGCAAGUCGAACGAGACCUUCGGGUCUAGUGGCGCACGGGUGCGUAACGCGUGGGAACCUGCCUUUAGGUUCGGAAUAACUCAGAGAAAUUUGAGCUAAUACCGGAUGAUGUCUUCGGACCAAAGAUUUAUCGCCUUUAGAUGGGCCCGCGUUGGAUUAGCUAGUUGGUGGGGUAAAGGCCUACCAAGGCGACGAUCCAUAGCUGGUCUGAGAGGAUGAUCAGCCACACUGGGACUGAGACACGGCCCAGACUCCUACGGGAGGCAGCAGUGGGGAAUAAUGGACAAUGGGCGAAAGCCUGAUCCAGCAAUGCCGCGUGAGUGAUGAAGGCCUUAGGGUUGUAAAGCUCUUUUACCCGAGACGAUAAUGACAGUAUCGGGAGAAUAAGCUCCGGCUAACUCCGUG
Molecule: ribosomal RNA, 433 nt
Filed under: uncultured bacterium
Lineage: Bacteria
Description: partial 16S ribosomal RNA
Rfam family: Bacterial small subunit ribosomal RNA
Source: RNAcentral